This 418-nucleotide ribosomal RNA is filed under the name uncultured bacterium. RNAcentral describes it as "bacterial SSU rRNA". It matches the Rfam family "Bacterial small subunit ribosomal RNA", at positions 29 to 447 of the family's 1533-position model. The record is from RNAcentral.
AUUGAACGCUGGCGGAAUGCUUUACACAUGCAAGUCGAGCGGCAGCGCGGGGGCAACCCUGGCGGCGAGCGGCGAACGGGUGAGUAACAUAUCGGAACGUACCCCGUCGUGGGGGAUAACACAGCGAAAGCUGUGCUAAUACCGCAUACGACCUGAGGGUGAAAGCGGGGGACCGUAAGGCCUCGCGCGAUGGGAGCGGCCGAUAUCGGAUUAGCUUGUUGGUGAGGUAAAGGCUCACCAAGGCGACGAUCCGUAGCUGGUCUGAGAGGACGACCAGCCACACUGGAACUGAGACACGGUCCAGACUCCUACGGGAGGCAGCAGUGGGGAAUUUUGGACAAUGGGGGCAACCCUGAUCCAGCCAUUCCGCGUGAGUGAAGAAGGCCUUCGGGUUGUAAGACGUCUUCUAGCAGGAACG